GGGAGGGAGAACACUUGUGGUGAUGAGCUGACAGAGAACAACGUGAUGCUGUGCUCCAUUUCAGCAACAAGGUUAUGGGUGCCCACCAGGCACUGCCUGGAUAAUCUAGCCAGCAUUUUAAGGACCACAACCAAGGAGUUUUUGCAACAGAAGUGUAUAUUUAUUCUACUUCCCUGCAAUGCUUUCAAGAAGAUGCAAAGGAAUUUUUGCUCAGGUUUUCUAACACUAAGUCUUCAAGCAGCAACAGGUCAUGCAGGACUUCUGCCCAAAAAUGAAGCAGGCAUCAGAUGAGGUCCCAUCCACGUUGUUGUAUAUCUAACCCUAGAAGAGAAGCAGCCCAGGUAGAACGGAGCAGUACUUACUCAGCACUGAGAGCUGUCUGUCAGCCACAACCUUGAUGUAAGAAGCUGAUUGAGGGGCCACGGGGAGAAAGGAAGAGUUCAAUCUUCAAAUCUCUUCGGUCCUUGUCCUUUUUAUUUUAAGAUUUGGGAGGAGAAAUACUUGCCCCUCUGGAAUAGAACAGAAAUCACAUUUCUACCUGGCCAGCACAAAUCUUACACUUUUUCAGCCCAUGCCAACAUGAGUGUGAACUGACAGCUUUGUAGAUGAAAGUAACAAAAUACCAUCCUUCAAACCAAUGAUUCACCACCGAACAUUUCAUUUUCAGCUACUGAAUAGAAUUAAAUCAUUGCAGUUUGCACAUGUCUGCCUAUAGCAAUUUCAGGUUGUAAGUACUAGUGCUGAUCUGUGACUUUGCUGUUUUACAACUCAAAAUGACAGAAAUCUUCCAUGAUAUGGUACAAGAAUUUCCAAACCAGCUAAAAAAUAUGUACUACUGUAGAUGAAAAAAAGUAUUAUGUUACCUUAGAGAAAAAAAUUACUUACUUGAUAGCUACUGCUGAAAUAAAGCAGAGUAGAGUAGACAGGAGGAUUAGUAUACUGUACUUACCAUUAGAUACACACUUCUCAAUUAGAACUGCUAUUUCCCAAACACAUGGAUAGUAUUUACAUUACAGAUAAAUUAUACUUAGAGAAAACAUUCUGAAAACUUUGUCAGUAGGUAAAUAUUUUGAGCUAAAUGUUCAAGUUAAAUUUCAAACUUUUUUUGCCCAGUUAUAUUGCAUCACAUUCUACUAGGCAAUGUUUUCCUGUUAAGCAUCCUUCUGAAUUGGUUUUGCGCUGCUUCUUUAUUCUUAACCAAUCUCUAGAGAAAGUUCACAGAAUAGGGAUUUAUCAUACCUUUCCAAAUAAAAACAUCUGUCCUAAAUUCUGCUGUCAUAACAGUCACAAGGUCUCCCAGCCUGUUUAGCGUGUGUGUUGUAAGAAGGAAACCUACUGUCCUUACAAGCUCAAGAACUUACAAACUUUUAAGUACAAAGGAACAAAGCUAAUCAUAGGCUGUCACAAUUCAAAUACCCCAUAUAGCUUGCCUAAAAAGAUAAGCUCUGCCACAGGCAAGUGCAGAAAUCUAUGUGGGAAGCAGACAUUAAGUACUUCUAUUUCCCUCCUCCUUGUUUUCAGGUGAAUUCACUUGACCUCCUUUGUAGGGGGCCACUUUAUACACUUGUGUAUAAAAUAGAGAAGACUCAUGUUUCCUCUGAGUUUGCCAUAUACAGAGGCUGUUCUGUAACAUAACCUUGUCAAAGCCCUCUGCACUCGAGGAAUGAAAAAAGGUUGUAGCAAUAAGGCAGAAUUAUAUUGUUUUUCUGAUAAAAAGACCCAGCAAGUUUAUAUUGCUUCAUCAGUAUGAGGCAGCUUCAACUCAACUAAAACUUUUGUAACCCAAGAUACACUAAUGGGUUUUCUUGUUUGUCCUGGAAUCUGGACCCUUCAGCCUAUCACUGAUCUAUUUUUUCAACAUGUAAUGCCAUUAUUAGUUAGAUACCUCUAUUCUCUGACCAUGAGAACUGAAUUAUAUGUACCGCAAUAACAUCUUGUUUGCUUCAAAAACCUAAGAGCUCUUCAUCUCUGUUAGUUAUCUUUUCAUCACUGUCAUAAUAAAAAUGGAUACAUAUUUGAAAAUGGGUCAUGUAAAAAAAGAAAAAGAUCUUCCAGAAAUUAUGCCCCAGGACAUAAUCAUAACUCUUACAUAUCUAUAUUUCAAUGGGUUCAGUGGAGCUACAGCAUAUUAAGUAAUUCUUUUUAUGGUAGUCAGUGAACAGAAAAUAUUUCAACAUAUUCAGUAAUGCUUCAUCACUCAUUCUUUACACACUAUAAGAGUUUAUUUUCCAAUUUAUACUUACUAGUUUGGUCUCAGGAGGUUAGUGGUAUUUUCACGUAUUCAUAUAAGCUCUUUCAUAAAUGUAGUGUCAUGACUAAUUGUCAUCACCCAAGAUGGAUGUAAAGCCUACCAAGUUCUUUUCUAAAAUAUUGAAUAAACCUUAUC
Long non-coding RNA from Falco peregrinus (peregrine falcon), 2386 nucleotides. RefSeq lists it as uncharacterized. Lineage: Eukaryota; Metazoa; Chordata; Aves; Falconiformes; Falconidae. The record is from RefSeq and is a predicted model, not a curated record. The transcript has 3 exons.